GGAGAUCCAGCAGGCGACAAGAAAUAACAGUCUGUGCAUACAAAAACACCUUGAGCUCUCUCUUUCAUGAGAAAAAAAGAUAGUUGUGUAAGGCCAAAGAAAGGCAGUGCUGCUGCUGCUCAGGGUUGUUGUGACUGACCUGUCCAUCCUUCUGGAAUGCUGACUGCUGGUGGGAGCUCUCUGGCAGCUGAUGGCAUCCACAGGCCCUGUCUGGCU
This is a long non-coding RNA of Lutra lutra (Eurasian river otter), 216 nucleotides long. RefSeq lists it as uncharacterized. Lineage: Eukaryota; Metazoa; Chordata; Mammalia; Carnivora; Mustelidae. The transcript has 3 exons. The record is from RefSeq and is a predicted model, not a curated record.